GACGAACGCUGGCGGCGUGCUUAACACAUGCAAGUCGAACGGCAAGGCCCUGCUUUUGUGGGGUGCUCGAGUGGCGAACGGGGGAGUAACACGAGAGUAACCUGCCCUUGACUUUGGGAUAACUUCAGGUAACUGGGGCUAAUACCAGAUAGGAGAUCCUGCUGCAUUGUGGGGGUUGGAAAGUUUCGGCGGUCGGGGAUGAACUCGCGGCUAAUCAGCUUGUUGGUGGGGUAGUGGCCUACCAAGGCUUUGACUGAUAGCCGACCUGGGUGCGUGACCGGGCACAUGGGUCCUGCGAGAGGGACCAGUCUGCAACGUGGGGCAGCAGGGGGGAGUAUUGUACAGUCGGACCAAGUCGGUGAAAGCAGCCCUCCGGGUGUGAUGCCGUCCUUCGGGGUAUAAACCGCUUUAGCCUGAGACCAAGCUUUUCUGACGGUACCCGGUGAAGAAGCACCGGCUAACUACGUG
This 468-nucleotide ribosomal RNA is filed under the name uncultured bacterium. Its description in RNAcentral is "partial 16S ribosomal RNA". It matches the Rfam family "Bacterial small subunit ribosomal RNA", at positions 28 to 507 of the family's 1533-position model. The record is from RNAcentral.